GAUGAUCUGUCUUGGUAUUAAUGGUAGCAGAGAAGGAACUUUGGAUAUUUCCUAUGGCAUAAAUGGGAAAUAAACAGUUUGGUUUAUUCAGGAAAAUAUUAGUCAUGUCCUCCUUUCUGCUACUAAUGGCUGACAGUGGACAAUGAUGGAUGUUGAAAGCUGUCCUCCUCAAGUCUUCAGGUCGUGAAGCUAAGGCCCAAAGUGAGCAGACUCAUGAUGAAUCCAUUGGGGCCACCAUUAUAAUGAUUCUGAUCUGCAGGCUCGAGUGCAGACUGAGGGGAGGAAAGAAGGGAGAUUCCACGGGAAGGAGGAUCACUGGCUGCCAUGUCAUGGAUACACCCAGGAAGUUUCUGGUGAAACCCACAUAUGCGGAUGCGAGACACACAAAUAACCAUGGUUCUUCCUGCCCCAGCCCCUGACCUCAGUGAGAUUGCCCAUCCCUCACUCCCACAGCCUGGAACCCCAUUGCAGCACCAAUUCUCUACAACUGGCAGGCAUGUUGGUCCCACACUGUUAGAGCUGAUUGGGCUAUUUCUGCAUUAUAUCAGGAGCCUCUACAAUCAGAGCUGGUGUGAACACACAAUGGAGAUGCCCUUGGGCAUUCACAGUGGCUGCCAGAGAACAUCGUGAGCUUCCCACAAAGGACUGAAGAUUAUGAGAAAGAUAACAAACAGAUAUGAUGGUGGUACGAAGCAAAGAAUUAAAGAUUCCAGACAGCAGUACCAGGAGGCCAGCAAAGUCCUUGGCAGCAGCCUCUUCCAAUAAAUCAGCAUGUCAGAAGAAACAAUGACCCUUCCCAUGGUACAGGAACAAAACCACAAACUCUCCAAGGUGGACCUGGAACAGAAGUCUCCAAGACAACCUCAAUACAUCUCAUUCCUUUCCCAUUCAUCGAGGGCAAGUACAAGAGGGCCUUUUUCUAAUCCAGUUGUCAAGGAUGGGCCAUCAUUUGGAAAAUUACAAUCUCAAGGAGCUGACAUUCUGGGGCCUACAGACCAAAGACCAUAAACAAGUACAUAUGCAAUAUUUAUCAGUUUGGGAUAAAGGCUAAGAAAGAAAACUAAGCAGUGAAAAGGAGAACCAGACUGAGCAAAGGGAGUGCUAUUUUAGAUGGGGUAGUCAGGGAAGUUUCCUCGGGGGAGGGAACAUUUGAGUAGACGUUGAGUAUGGCAAAGUCCUGGAUGGAGAGGGGAAUGUGGGCAAAGGACUCGGUGGUCACAAAGGGAGAUUUGGGGAGGAGUCAGGAUAGUGUGGUGGUUAAGAGCACUGCUCUAAUGUCAGCGCUCCUGGGAUUAGAUAAUCUCCUGGAUCCUUUGAUUGGACAUAGCAAUCAUGAGCAAACAUGAACAAGUUUUCUUAUAUUCUCUGGACCUCAAUUCCCCCUUCUCUGAAAUGGUUCUAAUGACAGUACUCACUUCUUGGGUCAUGUGAGGAUUAACUGAAAGCAAUGUCUGGUUCACAAUAAACAAUAAAUAUCAGCU
Molecule: long non-coding RNA, 1481 nt
Filed under: Equus caballus (horse)
Lineage: Eukaryota; Metazoa; Chordata; Mammalia; Perissodactyla; Equidae
Description: lncRNA (ENSECAG00000036852.3)
Source: RNAcentral